Molecule: ribosomal RNA, 408 nt
Filed under: uncultured bacterium
Lineage: Bacteria
Description: partial 16S ribosomal RNA
Rfam family: Bacterial small subunit ribosomal RNA
Source: RNAcentral
GACGAACGCUGGCGGCGUGCUUAACACAUGCAAGUCGAACGAAGUGGCGAACGGGUGAGUAACGCGUAAUCAACCUGCCCUUCAGAGGGGGACAACAGUUGGAAACGACUGCUAAUACCGCAUACUGAAGGAGGGGAUUGCGUCUGAUUGGCUAGUUGGAGGGGUAACGGCCCACCAAGGCGAUGAACAGUAGCGGGUCGGAGAGGAUGAACGGCAAAAUGGGAACGAAGACACGGCCAAGACUCCUACGGGAGGAGGCAGGGGGGAAUCUUCGGCAAUGGACGAAAGUCGGACCGAGAAAGGCGGCGGGAGUGAAGAAGGUUUUCGGAUCGAAAGACUCUGUUGUUAGAGAAGCGGUAUCGAACUAGAAAGCCACGGCUAACUACGUGCCAGCAGCCGCGGUAAUAC